GCCCUAACUCAAGCAUUCUUCCUUUACCGUCGAAGCCCUCUUCACCGAACAUGAUUGAUAUUCGCAAGGGAAGAAUUCAAAAAUAAACUCAACAAAUUCAUCGUGCAGGUAGCGUUAAUGUCCACGACAUCCUUGAAUAGCAAAAGAGGCUUGAGAGCGGAAGUACUAGAUUUAAGAUACAAGAAUCCAGCAUGUAACUGCGGAAAAUAUGCUGCUAUUAGGGUCGUUGGGCCUACCAAAGAUACCGAAGGUCAUGGUGCCAUAGAGAGGGCUGAAAUGGACAACAUUGCUAGAGUGAUAGAGUUGAACAUGAAGCGUUUUGAAAAAAAAUACGAAUAGGGUUACAUAUCUUUGUGUUUUUGUUAUUGUUGUUUUUGCAUUUAUGGUAAUAUGUAAGUAGGUGUCUAUGUUUUUUGGUGUUGUAUUUAGAAAUAUCUCUUGUAUUCGGUGUUUGAACUAUUGUUAUGACAUCUUUUGGAUUUCAUUGUUAUGACAUCUAUUGUAUUCGGUGUU
This is a long non-coding RNA of Andrographis paniculata, 513 nucleotides long. RefSeq lists it as uncharacterized. Lineage: Eukaryota; Viridiplantae; Streptophyta; Magnoliopsida; Lamiales; Acanthaceae. The transcript is spliced from 3 exons. The record is from RefSeq and is a predicted model, not a curated record.